CCUACGGUGGGCAGCAGUGAGGAAUAUUGGUCAAUGGUCGGGAGACUGAACCAGCCAAGCCGCGUGAGGGAGGAAGGUACAGAGUAUCGUAAACCUCUUUUGUCAGGGAACAAAGACUGGGACGCGUCCCCGGAUGAGUGUACCUGAAGAAAAAGCAUCGGCUAACUCCGUGCCAGCAGCCGCGGUAAUACGGAGGAUGCGAGCGUUAUCCGGAUGUAUUGGGUUUAAAGGGUGCGCAGGCGGUCUGUUAAGUCAGCGGUCAAGGCCCGGGGCUCAACCCCGGCCCGCCGUUGAAACUGGCAGUCUCGAGUUGGAGAGAAGUAUGCGGAAUGCGCGGUGUAGCGGUGAAAUGCAUAGAUAUCACGCAGAACUCCGAUUGCGAAGGCAGCAUACCGGCGCGCAACUGACGCUGAGGCUCGAAAGCGUGGGUAGCAAACAGGAUUAGAUACCCUGGUAGUC
Molecule: ribosomal RNA, 459 nt
Filed under: uncultured bacterium
Lineage: Bacteria
Description: partial 16S ribosomal RNA
Rfam family: Bacterial small subunit ribosomal RNA
Source: RNAcentral